AUCUCAUUACCUUUGAAGAUAUUGGAAACCUAAUAAAGCAAAAACAAAUUGCCAACAAUGUCAUUGAUGGCUAUGGAGAGAUCCUAUUUGCUGACCAAAGGAGAAAACGACAACAACCAACUUCAUAUUUUUUCACAUCCAUGAGCUUAAUAACGGAAAAUCAAACUUUCCGAGUCUCAUUAUUUGACAAGCAUCUUGAAACAGCAUGAAGAAAUUACA
Camellia sinensis is the source of this 219-nucleotide non-coding RNA. NCBI's taxonomy places the organism in Eukaryota, Viridiplantae, Streptophyta, Magnoliopsida, Ericales, Theaceae. The record is from RefSeq and is a predicted model, not a curated record.